Molecule: long non-coding RNA, 1055 nt
Filed under: Salmo salar (Atlantic salmon)
Lineage: Eukaryota; Metazoa; Chordata; Actinopteri; Salmoniformes; Salmonidae
Description: lncRNA (ENSSSAG00000120382.1, ENSSSAG00020068758.1, ENSSSAG00075059908.1)
Source: RNAcentral
AGGACAUUGGUGUGGGGUGACUGGUCAUUGGUGGAAAGUCAGUCAGGAGAGUGUGGGAAAUGUUAUACAUUACCAUUUUGCAAAGUAACAACUUAAGGUAACUCAUUACCAUUUCAAGGCCACAUCUACACGGAUGGCAGUUAAAUAAAGUGAACUAAGUCACUUUGGAGUAGGCAGAGGAGAAGCUGAGAGAAAGCUGUUACUGCUGGAGGUGAGCUAUUUGGCUGGUCUCCCUAUGGAGGCCAAGCUGUCUGUAGUGUAGCUUUUGUACAGGGAUCUAGUGUCUGUAGUAUUGCAGUAGUACUAUACAAGGAUACAGGAAGCAAGUUGUUGACAUGACUGAUGGCUUCCUGUCGUGCCAUGAGCAGACAAAACAAAAGAGACAUGAAAGUGUGUGUCUGUGGUCUCACCUGAAUUGAACAGGUACAGUGGUGCAUGGCCGACCUCACUAACCUCAAAAACAUACCAUGCUUUUUUUCCUACCCUCAGUCUGAGGCAGAGUGGGCUUCAAGCAGAGCAGCUUGUCAACCUCUGCCACAGACUUUCACCUCACAAUGUGAGCGAAGCCUGGAGCCGAGGCUACUUUCACCCUGUCUGAACCAAUGGUGCUGACUCAACGGUUUUCAGAGGUGAAUGAGUAAACAUUUCUCAUACCAGUAUGAAUGAAGUGGGCAAACUUCACCAACUUUGAAAAUGCCUAGUCAUACCCAAACCAACAUGGGGUACAACUGCUUUUCAAUGGGGAAACACAGAUUGUCAAUUGUGCUUGCUCAGCCGACUAAGAGCAAGUCAUAGGCUGCAGUCAUAGUGAAAGUGCUGUGGACGCAACAAGCCGCAUUUAGUCUGUUUCCCCACCACAGGACGUACGUUACACCAUUGAAAACAGUGUGCCGUAUUCUCACACCAAGUGAAAAAUAAGAAUUGGACGUCGCUCGUGUCUCAAACGGUUGCAUUUCUUCACGUGGCCUUUGCGCUACCUAUUUCAAUUGUAUGACCUUUAUAAAAGAGAGCAUGUGAGUCUCAUUAUUGUGACACAUUUUGAAGAAAGGACUAAG